UGGGGAAUAUUGGACAAUGGGCGAAAGCCUGAUCCAGCAAUGCCGCGUGCAGGAAGAAGGCCUUCGGGUUGUAAACUGCUUUUGUACGGACGAAAAGGCUCUUUCUAAUAAAGAGGGCCCAUGACGGUACCGUAAGAAUAAGCACCGGCUAACUACGUGCCAGCAGCCGCGGUAAUACGUAGGGUGCGAGCGUUAAUCGGAAUUACUGGGCGUAAAGCGUGCGCAGGCGGUUCUAUAAGACAGAUGUGAAAUCCCCGGGCUCAACCUGGGAAUGGCAUUUGUGACUGUAGAGCUAGAGUACGGUAGAGGGGGAUGGAAUUCCGCGUGUAGCAGUGAAAUGCGUAGAUAUGCGGAGGAACACCGAUGGCGAAGGCAAUCCCCUGGACCUGUACUGACGCUCAUGCACGAAAGCGUGGGGAGCAAACAGGAUUAGAUACCCUAGUAGUCCCUGAGCGGGCUGGCAAGGCGCAU
RNAcentral lists this ribosomal RNA (471 nucleotides) under uncultured bacterium. RNAcentral's name for it is "bacterial SSU rRNA". It matches the Rfam family "Bacterial small subunit ribosomal RNA", at positions 355 to 825 of the family's 1533-position model. The record is from RNAcentral.